RNAcentral lists this ribosomal RNA (2640 nucleotides) under Mimachlamys varia. RNAcentral describes it as "bacterial LSU rRNA". It matches the Rfam family "Bacterial large subunit ribosomal RNA". The record is from RNAcentral. Lineage: Eukaryota; Metazoa; Mollusca; Bivalvia; Pectinida; Pectinidae.
AGUAGAAUUAUUUGAAGAGAGGUGUUCCAUACAUCUAAAUCUAAAAAUUAUAACACACCGAAAGUGGAGAAGUACUGUAAAGGAAAGCUGAAAGAUGACAGAAACACAAUCGUUUGAACAGGACGAGGUUAAUUAUUCGAAGAGAAUAAGGGUAAUUUCAUAGAAGUAUGAGAUUAAUUGUGAAGAUAGAUUAGUAAGAAUAAAUAAAAAAUGGAUGGAUAGGGUGUUAUAAGGGGGGCGUAUGAUAUGAAGUCUUUAGUAUGAGAAUUAAAGGUAUCCCAUAAUUGAAAUAAGACUUUAGGAAUUGAAGCAUCUUAGUACUAAAGGUAAAAAAUCAAGCGAAAUUCUGUGAGUAGUGGCGAGCGAAAGUGGAAAGGAGGUUCUUUGUUAAAAAAAAAAAACAAAGAGGGUAAUAGGCCUGUGAAAAUGACAAGGAAUAGGUUAAAAGAGUAGAAUUAUUUGAAGAGAGGUGUUCCAUACAUCUAAAUCUAAAAAUUAUAACACACCGAAAGUGGAGAAGUACUGUAAAGGAAAGCUGAAAGAUGACAGAAACACAAUCGUUUGAACAGGACGAGGUUAAUUAUUCGAAGAGAAUAAGGGUAAUUUCAUAGAAGUAUGAGAUUAAUUGUGGAGAGUGAAAUAGAACCUGAAAUUAGUUAUUUACAAGCAGACAAUAUUUGUCGUACCUUUUGAAUAAUGGGUUCGCGAGAUGAGUAUUUGGCAAAUUUAAAUUAAUAAAUGUAGGUGUAGUGAAGACGAGUUUUAAUUAUUAAGCAUUAGUCAAAUAGAGCCCGAAACCAAGUGAUCUAGCCAUGGGCAGUUUGAAGUUUCUUUAGUUGGAAAUGGAGGAGCGAACCGGUGAUUGUGGCAAAAAUCUCGGAUGACCUGUGGUUAGGGGUAAAAAGCCAAUCGAACUUGGAAAUAGCUGGUUUUCUACGAAAACUAUUAAAGUAGUGUGUCUUUAGUUUUAAUUUUUACAUGGUAAAGCACUGUAUAGGAAUGUCUAUAGGGUAUUUGUAAACAAACUAUGAAAGUGUAAGAAUAAAAAGGAUAAACAGAUAAUGGGCGAGAAGGUCCAUUGUCCAAAGGGGAACAACCAAGAUCAGAAGUUAAGGUCAUUAAAGAAUAAUUAAGUGGGAAAGGAGUAUAUUAAGUGAGAUAAUAAAGAAGUAGGCUUGGAGUCAGCCAUCUUUGUAAGAGGACGUAACAGUUCAUUUAAUGAAUUAGUAAGCUUUAAAAAUGGGGGUGGCUUAAGUUAUUAAGGAGGAGACCCAAACUCUGGAUAAGAUAUUAUGGUAGUAGAACGUUCUGUAGUAAAUUGAAUUAAUUAUUAUGAAAGUAUGUCUGAAGUGAUAAUGCGAACAUGAGUAAAAAAUAAUGUGAGAAUCAUUAUUCCUGGCCCAAGGUUUCCAAAAAAAUAUAUUAUAUAUUAAUGGGUUAUACAGUCCCUAAGAAAAGAAAUGUUAAUAGUGUAAUGGGUAAAAAUAAUAAGUGUAAAAAAUUAUUUUAUAAUAGACUGUACUAAAACUAACACAAGUGGGCAUUAGGGGAUGGUUAAAUUUAUCUUAAGGAACUCGGCAAAAUGACUCUGUAAGUUUGCAAGAAAGGGUGCUAAUUUUGGGCUUAAAGAGUAAUAGGUUGGAAAUUAGUCUCGGAAAAGAGGGGGUGUCGACUGUUUACCAAAAACAUAGUUUUCAGUAAAGCCUUUGGCUUGAAGGAUUGGAGGUGAGGCCUGCCCAAUGAUUGUAUCUAAAUUUAAAUAAUAAACAAGUUAUUUGAUUAAAGACAAUUUAAUGGCCGCGGUAACUCUGACCGUGAUAAUGUAGCGAAAUAAAUAGCCAAUUAAUUGUUGGCCAGUAUGAAUGGCGUAACGAAUGCCCUACUGUCUCAAGAUAAAGACCGAUGAAAUUGAAAUUGUGGUGAAGAUGCUACAAACAAAUUGUAAGACGAGAAGACCCCGUUGAGCUUUACUGGAGGCUUAAAUAAUUUUUAAAGUUAAGGUGUAGAUUAUGUGGGAAUAUCUGUAAAUUCCACUCUUUAGAUAUAAAAAAUUAACCAAUAUUUAUUGGGAAGUUUAAGUUGGACAGUUUGGUUGGGGCGACCGCCUUCUAAAGAGUAACGAAGGCGAACAAAGGUAAAUAAUUAAAUAGUUUAAAGUAAAGCCUGAUAGCAAGGGUGACCUCCAAGCUGACACAGGUUUAAUGAUAUUGGGGGAAUUAAUACUGUGGGUUAUAAUGACCCGUUAGUUACGAGUGGGUGUAUUAACGAGCAACGAAUAAAAGUUACCAGGGGGAUAACAGCGUAAUCUCGUUUGAGAGUUCAUAUUGAUGACGAUGUUUGCGACCUCGAUGUUGAAUUGUGAUGACCUGGAGGUGCAGCAGCUUCCAAGGGUUGGACUGUUCGUCCAUUAAAAUCGUACAUGAUUUGAGUUCAGAUCGGCGUGAGCUAGGUCGGUUUCUAUCUACAAUUUUGUUUUGAAACAUAAGAUAUAACUAUACUUUAGUACGAAAGGAUUGAGUGAUAGAUAUCCUCUGGUGGGCCAAUUAUUUAGGUUAAAAUAAAUUGUUGGGUAGCUACGAUAGUAUUAGUGUCUAAUUAUUAUAAUUAGGGUGUAAAGGUAAAAUAAUUUUUGAAAGCAUU